This 253-nucleotide ribosomal RNA is filed under the name uncultured bacterium. RNAcentral describes it as "partial 16S ribosomal RNA". It matches the Rfam family "Bacterial small subunit ribosomal RNA", at positions 524 to 776 of the family's 1533-position model. The record is from RNAcentral.
UACGUAGGGGGCAAGCGUUGUCCGGAAUUAUUGGGCGUAAAGCGCGUGCAGGCGGCUUCUUAAGUCUGAUGUGAAAGCCCACGGCUCAACCGUGGAGGGUCAUUGGAAACUGGGAAGCUUGAGUGCAGAAGAGGAGAGUGGAAUUCCACGUGUAGCGGUGAAAUGCGUAGAUAUGUGGAGGAACACCAGUGGCGAAAGCGGCUCUCUGGUCUGUAACUGACGCUGAGGCGCGAAAGCGUGGGGAGCAAACAGG